AACCCUCAAGAAGUCUCAUAUUUAUUUUAAAGGUUAAAAGGGUUAGCAUUUCUCCAGAUACUUUAUUUAGUAAAUAUUUCAAGUCAAUCAUAAACCCACUGCUCAGAAAUUUCUAUUAUCCAGAAUCUAUUAUCUAACCAAUCCUGAUGCUUCAAUGCACGACUUAAGUUGGUUUUAAUUCCUCAAAAAAAGGAACCAAAAUCAGCCUAAAACAAGACAUGCCAUAUUCUACAUUGCAGAACUAGUUGAUAAAGACUCAGAGGCUUUUUGUAGAAAAACGGGUGCAGCAAUGAGGUCCAAAAGUGAUGAAGAUGAAAGAUACCUGGAAUGAUACCACAUCUUCUACACCUUUUGUUUUCUGCAAGUGAUACACACUGCAGACAAAACGUUUUUGUGCCAAACAGCACAAAAAUCUGGUUUUCUACUAUUAAGCACAAAGGAAAAACACUGACAGCAAGCGUGGUAAAUAAAUCCCUCCCUUGAGAACGAAAGCAGCAGACAGGAGGGGGCUGACAUGCAUGCAGGAGAAAACUAAACACCAUCUUUUUUUCUACCUGCACAAGUUGCCAUUUGCUGCAGCGAUCAAGAAUCUCUUUUGCCCGUUGAUUUCAAAAGCUAGGCUCUCAGAAAAAUUCUCUCUCAAGUCAUCUGUUGAUAUGCUUUAAGAGUACGAUAUUCGUAUCACUGGAUCUUUAAGAGAAAAAUCCAUUUUCUUUCCUGUUCAGGUAAACAUGUUUACAGCUCCUGCACAGACGCUGGGUGGUUCAGACUCACAUGUCACACACAUGUCGUCAGCAACAAGAAAAGCCCCUUUCUCUGGAUCAUCAACAUUUUUAAUAAGGUAAAGAGAAAAGCACUUUCCAAACUUACCUUCAGCACAGCCAAAUCAUGAGCUAAAUAUAAAUAUUUACACUACGACAAGGAAUUAAUAAUACGAACGUGCAAACAGAAAUACUUGCUAGAAAACGCACACAACAAAAAUAAGGAAGCCCUCCUAAGUUCAAAGCGAUCAAACCAACUCGCUGCCCCUGGAAGGGCCGUUAUUUAUCCCCACGUUCCGCCCGAAGCGGUCAGGAUUAGAGGAGCAGCACCCAUCGUGACUCUGGUCUAUUUCGGAGCCCGUUCACUGCGUACGAAAACAUCUCAGAUCGCAGGCGAAAGCCUUCCUAUCUGUGACCCUGCACAGGAAAUGCCACAUAAAACCUAAAAUUGCCAAGGAAGGUUACAAAAUCUCCUGCUUUACAUCCCAUUCCGAAGAGUCGCUGAGAGAACCGAACUACUCCAUUUUCCAGAAAAUCAGCAGAGUGGGUGUUACGGGCGGUUAUUCCCCCCGCCGUGUACCUUUCAAAUGCAUCUUAAAGUAACACACGUACCGGGGGGGGGGGGGAACGACAAACCCACCCCAGAGCAGCCCUACGGUCUGAAAUGUAAGUGUAAUUCCUUAUAUAGACCGCAGCAGUUGGUCGCACACGCACGGGGAGCGGAGCGGGGGCCCCCGGCCAAACCGUUACCACCCAUUAUUAUACAAACAGUGCUCGGCCGGAACCUUGUUGCCAGGGGAGACGGGCGCUUUACGGCAGGACGUUUGAACGGCGGCGGGGGAAAAGUUGCGGCCGCAGGCCCCAUCAAGAGACAACAGCCGGGCGAGAGUCGUGCUGUUGACGCUGCAUGUGAAAUCUGUCAUUCUUGGGCUUUCCUUAACUGUACUUCCCAUUUCUAUGAAGAGGGGAAGAGGUAUAAAGUUCAGCGCCCUAAAAAAAUAGAAAGGGAAGGUUUUUCACAGGGAUAUAGUGAUGGAUAACCCUUUCUGUUGACUUGGGCAAGACUGAAGAAAAGAAAGCAAACAGACAGACCUGUCUAUUGCUGUGUCUACCUAGACUGAAAUGCCAGACUUAGCAAACAGGCCAUUCUUCAUGCAUAGAAAAAAAUACUGGACAGAGUAUCCAGCCAGCCAGGGAUCAUCAAAUGUACCAGAGCAAAAUCCAUGGUUAAACUGAAAUGGAAAUAUUUAAGAGUCCAUCUGACAAGUUGUCUGCUUGCUGGCAGCACAUCCGUCACUUGGAGCAUUUUUCCUCCUCACCUGACAGCACUGCUUAUCCAACUGUUCUCAGAGUGGGAAUCUGCAGAAGGCACUUAAAGAAGAGACAGAGGAGGCUGUCCCCGGAAAGCAGCGCUCUUUGAAAUGAAUACAGGGAGGUUUUUGGCCGGUGCCUCACCAUAUUCUGCUGAGUCAAGUCAGCAUUAAGUGAAUACAAAUUCUCCCUUGGGAGUCCUAAUUGCAGCUGAGGAUCUGAGGAAGUUAUGGAAGGAAACAGGAGGGCUGCAGUGCUCUCAUAGCUGCUUCUUUUGAAUAUCCAGGAAACAUACAAGGAGAGACCCAUGACCCACAGGACCCGAGAACUGCAAUUGCAGGCCAUAUCCAGCUUUAUUCCUGUUGAUUUCAUCUGAUCCUAUUGCAGAGAGAUUUUGGGAUGAUCAGUUAAUCAGUAGCAAGUCCCUACAGAGCUGUCUAUAAUGGGCAUUACUAUGAAAUUUGCCAGCAUCAGUGCUGUAUCUUUUGUGCACACAGCUGCUGGUGCUUAGUGUCCAUUUCUCCCUGCAUAGAUUGAUGUACAUAGCAUCUGAUAAUUUUUUUAGUGUAUUUAGUAUAUUGUAACAAUUUAUAUCAUGAGUGCGUCAAUGCAACUUGUGGAGGGUAAUCAGCCUAUAGUUACCCUUCAUUUAUCUACGGGCAGUAAAAAGUAAAAAGCGGUUAUUGGUCCUUUCUUGGAGUGACACAGCUGAAAUCCAUCACCCAAAACAUAACGGUGGGCCGUAUUGUCCGGAGUUGGCUGUGCAGAUGGAAGGAGGGAUGGGUAGAAGUGGGUGUCACUGGCAUACAGCCUGCAAAGCUGCUUGUGAAAGGGUGAAGAGAAGGAACAACAGGAGAAGCAGAAGUAUGCUUUGGGGAGAAAGUCCAGCAAAAGUACUUUUUCAGCAAACUGCUGCCUAAAAAGAGCCUUGAAAUGGCAAGCACAGGAGCUGCCUUGUAGUGUUUAAUUCCUGCUUGGUUAGAGAAGCCAUAAACCAGAGGUUUCUGAAAACUUCUGAUUUGCAUUUGGCAGCCAACAGCUUCAAGAGCAGAUCAGGGCAUGGAGGGGCCUACGUCAGCCCCUGCCCACCUAUGCUCCCGCGCUCCCCAGGGCUCCCCUCUGCCACCCCUCUGAGCAGCCCGGGGACAGCACCCAUCUGUGCCUGAUUCAGCAAAACAAAGAAGCAGGAUGAGGUUGGAAGAGCUCCUAAGGCAUCAGCCAGUAAUUAAGAAUCCUCAUUUAGGAAGAGCCUUGAAGCAGGAUGAUGACCUGUGUCUGGGAAGUAAAGGCUGGUCUUUAAGUCAGUGGCAGUGGCUUGAGAAUUCUGGGGUUGUGUUUUGUUCAGGUUUGGUUUUUUAAGUUUUGGAGGGUGAUUUGGUUUGGUUUGGGGGUUUUCUGGUUUGUUUUUUUUUGGGGUGGUGGUAGUGGUGGUGGUGCUGUUUUGUUUCUCUCAUUUUAAAUAUCCUUACUUCAUAUUCCUAAGUGGUUUAGAAUGAAGUGCUCCAAAAUAGUGAAGCACAGAUAAAGAACAAGAGAAUUUCCACGUAUCUGAAAUAGUAAUCAUCCCCAGAAUUCUGAGUAUGAAUGUUUGAUACAGUGUUACAAAAAAAUAACAAAGCUACCUGUAGUGGGACAUCAGGAAGAUUUCCCAGAAUAUUCUUUGAAAGUGAGCAGUGCCUUGAACCUAUCGAAGUAAAAGUCCAAUGGAGUAUGAUCUUCACCUGGCACAUGCUACCUUGCUUUCAGCCAUUUUUUACACUUUGUUUUUGUCCAUCCACUUUCAGAUGUAACUAAUCUCCCCUGGGUGGCAAUUCCAGCAUUGCUGCAGAAACUGUCCCACUGCACAUUCUGUAAUAAAAAAUACGCCACAACAGGUUAUAUUUAACAAGGAAAAGAGGAACAGAAAGUGGUACAUCUGCACAAUGAAUAUAAUAUAGCAUUGACUUGGAAUUUCCUGACUUCAGCAGUCCCUCCGAAAUAAUAAUGCAUUAAUAGAAUUACACUUAGCUUUCUGCUUUUAAAAGGAAAAUAUUUGAAAGCAGAAGUCUUUUCAUCUUCCAAGUUCUUCUGGCUCUGUGUGUGAGAUAGUGGAAAUAACACAGGACUGUGUAACCACAGCAAACAAGUGGAGUGGGAAUUUUGUAGCUGCUCGGCUGGCCCAAAGCAGAGCAGUAGUGAAGGAGCAGCCUGGAUUUUGGAUUUAAUAGGUGGAAUAUUUUUUCCCCCUAAACUCCAUUCAUUUCUAUGGAUAAAAUAAAAUUACUCUGUUGCAGGCAGAACUGGUGGUGACCUGUAAUUAAGGAUAUCUGACAUUUCCAUUAUAAGAAGCAGGUUUCAGUUGCCUAUAGUUUCAGCUGUUGGUUGGUUUAAAUUUUAACUGAUUAGGCAAGAGUUUCCUUUUCUGGGUAUCCCCUGCAAUCUGACUUUUUUAGAGGGAUGCAGUAGAGAAAGAGUGAGAAGUUCAUCAAAUUGUUCAUCAGUAUCUAUAAAGCAGUUAAGCAAAGAUACGUUCCUUUGACCAUAUAGAGAAGCUCUAAACUCCUUGCUUAAAAUUUGGCGAGUAAGUCACCCCCUUGUUGGGAUGUCUUUUCAGCUUUCUGUGGAAAAUCUUGGCUGAUACAUAAGCAGGAGAAAUUUGUUCAAAUUUAGCACAUGGAUGUGCAAAAAAAAAUUCCAUCUACUUUGAGCAUGCUCCAAAGCAGGGACAGAAUUAGCUCACUGAGGAACACUUGAUUGAUCCACCAGUAAAAUGCUGAAAGGCAGCAGAAAUAUGUACAUAUUUAACCUCCCAGCAAUUUUAACUUCAGUGGGGCUUAGCUGAUGAAAUGUAUAAAGUCAUUUUUCUUUCCUGUUUUACCAGUAAAAUUCCCUGAUAUAGACAAACCUUCAAAGUGUAGACUUUAUUCUCUCUCUUAUAAAUGAAUUUUAUCUUUAGCAUCACUGUAAAACCAAAAACAUGACCCUGUGACUCACUGACUUCUUCCUAGGUGUUUUUCUAGAAGGCAUUACCAAAUGCUCUUUGGAUACUGACAUUUUUAACCAUAUUAAUAAAAAUAUCAACAAUGUGCACGGAUGACAUAAUUUUGGGAUCUCGAUCAGUGGAGAUUGAUUGACAUUACCUGUAUAUAGCACUAUGUCUUAGCACCAUUCUCCAUUAAGUCUGGGUUUAAUAUCCAACCCAUUGCUACCAAUCAGGGUAUCAUUGAUGCGCCACAGUCACAGGCUUUUGUUCUGAAGCUUCCUCAGUGCUCUACCAAAGCAAAAAUCCCUUCUUCUCUUCAUUGCCCAUGCAUCUUCCCCCUUUUAGCUUUUUGCUGUCAUCCAUAAAAUCUAAGAAAUGAAAAGGUGUAGAAACUGCAUUAUUACUGGUAAAAAACCAGCCUUGCUAUUAUUUACAGAAGCAGCACCAAUCUUUUGUUUUCACCAUAAGAGAGCAAAUGUGUUUGUUUUCCUUUGCAGGGUAUUUGGUAUGUCAAUAAUUUAAGAUAUUAGGGUUUGACACUUCACUGUUUUCCUGAGGGAGUAUUUGGAGAUAAGUUCACAAACCACCAGGUUUUAAACAAGACACAUUGCUCCUGGUUUGGGAACGGCUCUUAGAGCUGGGUGUAGUGUGCACCGAACGUCAAGCAGCCUGGCUGAUGGGCUAAUGCCAUCAUUGCCCGGACUCCCUGAGGGGCUGAUGGGGGUCAGGCCAUAGAGGGGUUAUGCAUCUUCUUCCGUUUAACUGCAGGCUUACAGCAAGCCUGAGCAGCUUUUCCUGAAGUGAGCUUGAGCGUGGGAUCAAUGCGAACACAUACAUUCUGUAGCUUCGUGGGACCUAGAAGAUCCGGCGGGAAUACGUAUGCAUCUCAGUCGUGAUUGCUGCAAGCUGUGAUCAUGACCAGGGACAUUGCAGAGCUUCAAGACCAUGUUGAAGACCAUGUUAAGGUUAAUGACAUUAUUUACAGCAUGCUGAAAGCAUCCUUCCUCUGUAAGAUAUAGAAGAAUAAACAACGUGAACUGGGACUUUUUUGAUGUGUAAGUUCAACACAUUGCUGCAUCAUAAAAUCAUCUAGGAAAUUUUGUUUGGGGGUGUGUGGUUCAGACUAAAGAUAUAAUACUGAUUUUCAGUAAUUAAAAAGUGCAAUGUGUAUGGUGUUUACAAAUUUUAGAAGCUACAUCAGGGUUUUGUCUACCGCUUGUAUGGUAUCUACCUACUACAUGUCCUAUCAUUUAGCAUAAGGGGAAAAAAUAUGCUGGCGUUGUUUUUUUCCAUCUGUUCCAUAACCUUUGAUACGGAGCUUCUAAAAAGUUUAAAGCAGACUAAACAGGGCACAGUCAAAACAGUAAGGCAGCUUUUCAUGCAUUCUUUAAAUCAGAUGUUUUAAUUCUAGUUUUCAGUUUGUUUGCUAAUUAGAAAACAGGUCUGCAAUGUGUUAUCUAUCUUCUUCCAUUUGAAUCAAUAAACAGAGAAGUCAUGAGAAAGGGACCUCUUCCCUUCAGGGAGUCUUUUCUUGUUAAUGUUGACUCAGGUUGCUAGUGCUUAUUCUUGUCUCCUUUCCUCUUCUGCCUGCUUCCCAGUCUUUUCUCUUUCAGUUCCCCCUCUUGUUUCCCAAUGUGAGAUCUGUUGCCUUACACACAGCAUGUAUGCAUUUGUCCUUUAUGUUUACCUGCUGUAUCAUGAGUGCACUGUAUUUUUCAGUCUGCAUAGCAAAAGUAAACUCUUUAACCAGACUGAAUGAUGCUUUUUAAGCCUAUAAAAUUUUCAAACGUGAGUUUCAUUGAAAGUGAAACAGAUAAAUACUUCAGCUACAAAUAAUGAAUGUGCAUUUUUAAAUAACUGGUGAGACCUGUUUGGAAUUAUCCUGAAGGUUUGCCUCCUACCUGAAAAACCUGCUGGCUGAGAAAUGAGUACUUUAUGUGCUUGCAACUUGAUAACAUUGAGAUAAGUUAUUAAAUGGUCUCAAUUUUUUUAUUUGCUCUGUGCUUUUGGACAGCAUAGUCAGAUUUUAUACCUUCUCUUUUAUGCUUAGCAGAGUCCAGUUCCUGCAGAGGCUUUACAGGUAUAUUUAACUUUAUUUUGGUUAACUGUCUGUGUAAAGACUUUUUAGAUUUUGGACCCUGAAUAGUUUCUUCCUUGCUGAAAAGACCACUUUAAAUUUCAAUAGGGAAACAGAAAAGUCCCUUAACAACUUUUAAGGAAGCUUUUAAAACAAUGAUUUGAGGAUGUACUAUUUAAAGUGAAUUGCAUCAGAUGCUGGCUUAUUUUGAAAUAGAAGUCUGAAUAGCAGUGACCUGCCUUUUGUGUGUUCAGGCUUGCUACUAGGAGAUUCAAAAACUAUUUGUAAGGGAGUGAAUAAUCAGAAAUUCAAGUGUAACUGAAUGCUGUGGGGUCCAAGGGCUGCAAUUCCCACUUGUAUAAGCAUUAGCAGGAUAUAUAGGGUCCCUGCAGACUCUAGAUACACCUUGCUUGUACUCUGUAUUGCUCCUGUGUGUCAGCUCUGAAGGGUUUCUCCUGUCAUCUGGAAAUAAAGAAAGGUCAGUUAAAACAAAUAUCAUAAAAGGACACGGUAGAAUUUUUCAAAUUUUAGAGACAUUAUCUAUCUUCAAAUCCCCUCACUAGACCUACAUUAAAAUAAUGAUCGCAACCCAAAUAUAGAACAUUUGAACUGUCCUUUUCCAGGCCAGAUGUGCUGUGUUAUGUAAUGCCAAUUCACGGUGAUUGCUGGAGCUUGGAGUAAAAGGAAAAUGAACAUAUUGUAGAUAUUGUUCCAAAGAGCAAACGUUAUAAAAAAAUGUUAUAAAACUCAAGGCCUUAAGCAAAAACUUUUAGCAAACACAAAUUCUACACAGAGCCUUGCCUACAUGGAGGCUGAUCUCUCCAGCAAGGUACAAUUCAGCCACAGGCCCCAGAGGUUUCAGUAAGACGAGAGUCCAAACACACAUCCCUACACCAGUACGUUUUACCCAGAUACAAAAGCAUUGUUAACUCCUAAGAGCUUAUUCCUCUAGGCACGGCACAUUUCUAAGUUAAAUGCACCACAGCAGAAAUUUUCUCCAUAUGCUUUUCAAAACCCUAUUAAAUAAAAAACAUCCAAGCAAGUAGUUGUUGAUACGUAUGUGCAACAGGCUUCCCAGAAAUUCUUUGGAAAUAGAGCAUCAAUGUUCCCCACUGUUCGCAGGGAGGAAAUCUGCUGAGUUCAGACGGCUGUAAUCAAUCCACAUUGCAAAGUCACAAAUGGGGAAACAAAGGACAAUCGCUGCCCAUUUUUUGCACUGCGGAUGCAUUAAUCAGACUCCAUUUUCUUCACUGCUUCAGAAUGCAUUCUCAGGGGGAUGUGCCAGCCUCCUGCCUCCGUUGGUUACAUAGCUGUCCCCUGUCACUGCAGCCAGAGCUGGGACAGCACACUCACCACUUGAAGCAUUUCACAGUUGUGAUCCCAAGCAGAAGACCAGUGCACUGGAGAGGCAGAUACACCAGGGGAAAGACUUGGAGUAUCUACACGAAGUGUCUGAACACGUAUAGGGAGCAUACCACAAGAGUCACCGAGCUCAGUCGACUCCGGGAGCAUUUCUUAUCUUUCAAACCUCUUUUCACUGUGAAGAAAAAUUUCUUCCUUUUCAGGCAUUCUGUAGCAAGAGCAAAAAUAGGAACCCAGUUAUGCCUGGCCUCGCUGCAGGGAGGUGAGAACGGGUGAGGACGGAGGGUGCUGUGCUGCGGUUACGCCUAGGGCACAACCUGUGCAGGAACUCGCUGUCCCCGACCGAGGCACGUAACCUUUAGCAGCUCACUUGUUCUGGGAGGGGAUGGCAGAGCAGCUGCACUCUGCCAGAGCAGCAGGGGAGACUGUACCUGAGCUCUGUUCCUUGAAGGGCUAAGCCUUGGUGUAUUCAUAUUUUAGGCACCCUUUACCUCCACCUCGUAGACUUGUGAUGCAAGAGAGGAUGGAUGAGUCUUUCCCUAGGCUAUUUAGGAGAAACCUGCUUCCAUCUGGGAGAGGGACUCAGCAGUAAAUGGGCAGCAUUGGUAGGCGAUUACAGCACCCCCAUGGCUUCAGACUCUUUGUGAGGCUGACUGAGGGGUAGGAAUAGGCAGGGGUAGGUUGGCAGCUCGGGUGCAGCAGACACCAGUGAUCUGCCAGCUCUUUCUGCCUCGUGCUCUGUCACUAGACCCAGAUAACUGGGCCUGUCUGCGCCCAGUCUGAGAUCUCUGACGUCGCUCUGGGAAGGCUGGUGUGCCUGCGCAGCUCUCAGGCAUUGUUCAGAAAAGCCACUGUGGGUUUUCAAACCCAUUUAGUUCUGCAGAUGUGUUUCAUUGCUACUGUGUUUCUAGAUCUGUGCCCUUUUUUUUACCUUUAACAUCAAUAACAUCAACAAGAGAGAUUUAAAGGCAGCAAUCAUAUCUCCCCUCUGGCUUUAUUUAGCAGCUUCUUUUAGUCUCAUAAGGUAGUUUACUCAUAAAAUAAACCACUUAACCUUGUAGCCUUCCUCUGCACCUAUCCCAAUUUGAAUGUCUUUUCUGAAUGCUAGCGACCCAGUGACUCAAAAGAUGUCAGAAGAGGUGUUGCCAAUGCCUUGGACAAGGGCCGGAAUUCUUCCUAUGCUCUACCAACACUUUUUUGUAUCCUGUGAUCAUGUUUUCCAUCCUAUGAUCACAUUUGCAGUUUCUCAGGACCGCGCUGACUGGCAGGCUGCAGUAAUCCUGUGAUCAGCCAGUGUGUUCAUGCUCAUCUCCCUCCUCUGUUGUUUCUGUUUCAUUCUUGUUGUUAGCUGAAGCUCUUGAUCUCACACUUUCUUCUUUUAAGUUUCAGCUCAUUUCUAUUAUCUCACUGCCCCUUUCUGACUCUUUCAGAAAAACAAAAAAUGCUCUAUUGUUGAUGCCACCUUAUCCUCAUUAUUAUCUAUUCAUUUUCCUCAAGGGACUGGUAUUUUAUGUAAAAUAAUCAUGUAAUACUCUAAGUAGGAAAAUCAGGAGGCCUUGCUCUUUUUUAAGUAGGAUCAAUCAAAAAAUACCCCCACGCAUAGAUGCGGUGCUCAGUGACAUGAUUUAGUGAUGGGCACAACAGUCCUGGGUUAAUGACUGGACUUGAUGAUCUCAAAGGUCUUUUCCGACCUAAGUGAUUCUAUGAUUCUGUGAUCCUGUGAAUUCAGAUAAUCUUAGACAGCAUGUAUCUGCCCACUGCACCAGGGCUGGUCGCUUGUGGAAAGCCAGUGUUGCAGUAGCUGGCAGCACACAGAGUCUGCAGCUCACAGGGAAUCACUGUAGGGCAUGUAUGCAAUUGAUUAAAUGAUAUUGUGCACAGUCAUCAAAAAUGGAGCAUCACAAUACAUGUAAAGAUGUGCUUUGUUCUAAUCUUCGCCUGCAUAAUAUCAGGGGAACAUGUAUUUCUAGAUAAAAUAAAUGUAAAUGGGUAUAACCAAGCCUGACAAAGUUACCAGACUUGCCAAUUGCUGGAGGUAAGCUGAGAGAACAUAAAUUCCCCAUCCAGUUCCCAAUAAAAUAUUUUAAAAACUCACAGGUGGGGGAUGUGCUGCUUUAAGGGGCCAGUACAGCAGGUCUCUGAGUGGAGUGAUCCACGUGUCCCGCAAAGGUGGGCUUGAUGAAGCGGUAGAGAUUUUACAGGAGCUGAAAUAUAAAUAAAGGAGAAAGGCAAAUGUCUGAGGAUGAGUCAGCCAAAAGGUGAAUGCGUUUAGUCAUAAGUGGGCUGUUUUGUAGAUCACACCGCGACUCAGAAACCAAGAUAAGGCUGCAGAGUCUGUGCUUGAACUUUUUAGAAAUCUUUAUUUAUUACUAGAGGAUGACAUCCACAAUGUCCCUGCUCCUUUCCUUCUCUCUUUUAUUCAGCUCCUACUUCUUUAGCUUUCUGUUCUCUUGCUUUUUCCUUUUGCGCUUUAAUUUCUUUCUCUAAUUAAAUUAAAAAGGACUGCAUGUGACUUACAAUAUCUAACUUCUCACUGGCAAUCCCAGAUUCAGUAGUGAUUUUAACUGACAGUUUGUAAUUAAAGAUAGAAGGUUUAUAGGUUUCAACUGCAUAUCUGCAUUUCUUGUCUUCUGAGUGUUUUUUGAAAACAUAACUGUGUAAAUCAGGACUUUUUAUAUGUGUAUAUGUAUAAAUAUUUCUGCUUUUCUAUCUGAUCAGAUUAGUGUUAUUUAGGUCACCUCUAGUCAAAGAAGCCACGCUGGUAUAGCAGUAUCAGCUAGGGGAGUGAUUGCUUUGGGUUGUUGGUGGGGUUUUUUUUUUCCCUUUCUGUCUGGGGAAAAUCUGAGUUUAAUGUGCAGCAAAAUUAGAAGAAUCCCCACAAGGACACAACAAAAAAUCAUGCUUUUUCUGGGAGAGCUUACUUUCCUUUGGGUAAAGCUCUACAGCCCUGCAGUGAGUUGGCCUUCUGAGGAGCGGCCCCUUCCCCUAACACCGCUCCGCAGCGCGGCGGCCGGCGUUUCCCCGCGGGGUGAGGUGACCUGCCGGCCGCCCCCGGAGGCCUGCGGCGGCGCCCGCCCGGCGCUCCCGGCAAGCCGUGCCCAGGGCUGCCCGGCUCCCGGGGCGCUUUCCGCGGAAGAGGAUGCUGUGAAACGGCAAAAUCGAUCGGGUCCCGGGUCACUUGGCAAUCCCGCUGCACGCCCGCACAAGUACGAAAGACUGGGAAUGCUUAGUUAGUGCUGUUCUGCUACAAGAGCCCACCGCAGCCUUCCUAUUUUGUCGGCAUUUGCUCCCUUUUAGUAUCAGUACUGCUCACUGGGAAUUUGUUGUGAAGUAAAAGCCUUAAAUGCAAAGUACUUCCCAGGCCAGUAAGAAAUAUUUAAACACUUCAGGCAUUCAGUCUGUGAUUCAGAGAUUUAUUUAUAAAACUGUUGAUUUUGGGACACUAAACCAUCGCAUUUAAACUGCAGGAGUGAGUCAUAUUUGUGGGAGGUAAUUACUACCAGAAAGUACAACUAACUUUUGUAGGUUUCUCUGUAAAAUGUCCACUUAUGAUCUGCAACUACUAAAAAUAACAUGCUUUGUUGAAUUUCAGCACAAGUUAUCUUUACAGAAUUAUGUGGCUUUAUACAUAUAUUCUGUU
Molecule: long non-coding RNA, 12113 nt
Organism: Falco peregrinus (peregrine falcon)
Lineage: Eukaryota; Metazoa; Chordata; Aves; Falconiformes; Falconidae
Exons: 6
Source: RefSeq, a predicted model, not a curated record